CAGAUAGAGAGAGAGGGAGAGAGAGAGAGGGACUCAUGAACCAAGAUUUUAUAAAACGGGACAAACGUCAAAUUGAAACUCUUCUAGAGAAUAGACCAAAUAAUGCACGCAGAGCAGAAUUAGGACGAUAUCCAAUCGUGAUUAAAAUUUAGAAGAGGGCCCUCAAAUGUUAUAACCACCUUAAAGGAUACUUCACCGGUGGGAACGUGAAGGUUUUAUGAAUUAAAUAAUUAUAUUUAUUAAAAAUCAGGCCAGGGCUUCUAAUGCACCUCCCUCAGCAGAACGCACUCGCCUACAGGUGAGACCGCCGUAAUAUUCUACUAUAUAUGUUUACAAAGUACACAAUAAUAGAGAGACGCCGAGAUGGUUUAUUGGCCUGUGGCGUGUGCCCCCGCAACCACUGACACACCAUGGCCUACGCCGCUCAGGAACGGUACCUGCCGUUCCCAACAUGGUAUAUGACACCAGCACAUUAGUAGGAGUAGGUAACAUCUAAAGUAUUUAUUACCAGGAAGUUGUGAUGUACUCUUUCAAACGCAUUUCCAGGAAAAGAUUUUAUCCGGUUCAAUACGGUUUGUGAUCAAUAAUCUAAAGAAAAUAUGAAAUUAAGCAAGCUGUACCUUAGUUUCUCUGUGAGAAAAACAUCUGCUGCCCCAUGUAGCAUGAAGAUAUAAAAGCAAAAAGGAAGGAAAGUGAGAUCCGUUGAAGGAAGAGAUUCACCAACACCCAAAGUAAGUGUUCAGAACCGAGUCAGAACAUUAAGAGGUUCUAAAGGUUCAGAGUAAAGAUUGAGCUGCUGGGCUCCUCAGUGUGGAAGACAAA
Long non-coding RNA from Gadus macrocephalus (Pacific cod), 822 nucleotides. RefSeq lists it as uncharacterized. The transcript is spliced from 2 exons. The record is from RefSeq and is a predicted model, not a curated record. NCBI's taxonomy places the organism in Eukaryota, Metazoa, Chordata, Actinopteri, Gadiformes, Gadidae.